Molecule: long non-coding RNA, 357 nt
Organism: Cyanistes caeruleus (blue tit)
Lineage: Eukaryota; Metazoa; Chordata; Aves; Passeriformes; Paridae
Source: RefSeq, a predicted model, not a curated record
CUCUACAACUUUUUUCCCUUACAGCAGGAACAGGUCAAAUCUGGAGGCACUGGGCUGCUCAUGGGACAAGAAGAUGGCAAAUCAAUACCAGAAGCUGCACUUGAGGAGCUGCCUCACCUCCUGCCAGCCACUGCAUCUAUUUCACGUAUUUUUUCCAUCUCCUUGUCUGUAAAAUGUGCAAAGUGUUGCUAACUGCACUUCAAGAAUCUUGUGAGUUCCUUAGCUGUGGAUAACUAAAUAUUAUGACAUAUAAAAGCACAGGGUAUAGAUAUAUCGUAGACUUCACACUUGUAUUUCACACUCUCUAUUAAUGUGGCACUCCACAGUGACAUGAUAUUUACCAAAAACUUCCUGGAA